AAAAGGAGGGGCGCGGAAAAAGACGAGUCCACAGUAACCUAUCAAAUUAUCCGAAUCUAUGUUUUCUCAACUUUUUGUAUUGUAUGUUUUCCAGAGAUGACGUGCCUCACAUUGCUUCUUCCAUUUUGGUGAGAAGGAGUGUUUCGGUGGGUACCGAAUGGACAACCAACCCAGAUGAUCCAAGUCUUGCUUCUGACUGAUGGGUCUUUCUGUGGUCUCUCCUAGAACCUUCUUUGUUCGGUGCACCGCUUGAAGACAAAUAAUUGGAAGCUUACAUUGCUUACAAAAGAUUGCCUAGAUGUCUGCAUUUUAAGUUUGCAUUUACACCUCAUUCAAGUCUCACAAAUUUGCUCUUUUUCACACAAGUUACCUUAAUUGAGGCCUAUCUACAAAAAACCAGAGUAGAGAAAUAAACGAAGGUUUAUUCUCAAUUAUGUUCACCUGAGGUUAAUCUGCCCUCGUCAAAUUGCCACCUUGAGGUGUGUCAUUGUGUCAACAUUGAAGUUUCUUUUAUAUCUGAACAUGCCAUUUUCUAUUUGGGAUCGAUUGGGUUGCUUGAAGAGUAUUGUCCUAUGUCAAGUAAAAACUCACAGUUGCCAGAAAGAAUUGACUGUAUGCAUCACGGGUCAUUUAAGGAAUACCCAUAAUUUUGUGGUAGCAGCUGGGUGUAACAUUCCUUGACUACAGAGAAGGAUCUCUCUUUUCAUGACUAAAAAUCAUUAGGAGACUUCUACAUGUUGAAAUACUACAUAUCUUGAAAUAGAGGACUUAAUUACAAAAAUUCAGAUGGUUCAAUUGAGAUGUGCAGCGUGUGGUUUUGUUUCGGAUGUAGAUGUGAGGGACAAACUCGUAGCCUUCAUUUUGAAGAACCCAUCUGAACCAAAGAAGGGUUCUAAAGACAAGAAGGCAAUGCGGAGGGCUGAAAAAGAGUGACUGAAGGAAUGUGAGUCUGCUGAUGAAAAGCAGAAGAAGCUAAAGAAAGUAGUGAAGAAGAAGGGGUCUUCAAAUUCCAAGGAUGGGCCUACAAAAGUCAAUUGCAACAAAAAGAAAGCCAAUGGUUCUGAUGAGGAUCAAAGUUCACCAACUAUAAGUCAGGUUGAUGAGAAAGAAGAGACAGACAAUGAUAAUGACGACAAUGUGCAAUGGUAGACCAACAUGUCACUGGAGGCAGCCCGCCAAUGCAUCGAAGAGCAAUUGAGAUAACCAUUCCCAUCUCUUUCUGGUAGUGAUAAAUGACAGUAGGUAUAUAGUGCCUGAUCCUAAGACACUUCAACUGAGACCAGGAUUGAAAAAUCAAGUACAAGGUCGAGGGUGAAGAGGAAAGUUUAGCAAACAAGCUUCACUUGCUAUAGAAAUGUUGAUCAAUGGAUGGAUCAAGAUUGAUUUUGUGAACUUGUUUUUGAUAGUGGACAUUCAACUUUUACAUGUGGAUCAUCCAUGUUCAAUGCAAGUGUUGGAAGACUUUUGAAGUAUACCUCACCUAUGGUCAAGAUCACAUAGAAGUCUCCAAUUCUUAAACAACACAAAGGUAAUUCUUUACCCAAAUUUUGGUUCCAUGGGAUGUUUUAUUUGGAACUAAAACAGGAAAAAGAAAGAUGAGAAAAUUCUACAUUCUCUAAUAUCUGAAAUAAGAUAUUCUUUUGGUCACCUUAAUGUUUACAAAUUUGAUUCUAAGUCUUUGUUACUUGAACCCCUGUUUUUAAUUGUGGCAUACAUAUGUUUGUCUUUUUCUUUUUUAAA
Camellia sinensis is the source of this 1740-nucleotide long non-coding RNA. RefSeq lists it as uncharacterized. NCBI's taxonomy places the organism in Eukaryota, Viridiplantae, Streptophyta, Magnoliopsida, Ericales, Theaceae. The record is from RefSeq and is a predicted model, not a curated record.